This 107-nucleotide small nuclear RNA is filed under the name Calidris pugnax (ruff). Lineage: Eukaryota; Metazoa; Chordata; Aves; Charadriiformes; Scolopacidae. The record is from RNAcentral.
GUGCUCGCUUCAGCAGCACAUACACUAAAAUUGGAAUGAUACAGAGAAGAUUAGCAUGGCUGCUGCGCAAGUAUGACACGCAAAUUCAUGGAGCAUUCUGUAUUUUU